AUGGCAAAACCGGACGACUACCAAACCAAGCAGCUGUUUGCCUACGGCGUGGUUGAGGUCGAAUUCAGAAGGGUUCCGUGCCGAUACCCCGGCCAAAACCUCCUUGUCAGCGUCAAUGAACACAGCAGAAACCCUUCUUACUUAGCUAUCAUCCUUUUAUACGUCGGCGGCACAAAUGACGUCACAGCUGCGGAGUAUUGGCAGGUAUUCAGUCAUCCAUUAUCCCAUGAGUUUGCUACAAUUUGGUUUCAAGUAGAAUCAAAUUAAACCAUAAAUCGACAUAAACACGAACAAGAGACCACUACUCAACAAGACAAUGACCUUGCUUUCUCGUAAUUUCGAUUCAGGAUGACUAUCAAGGGUGGAACCGGAUGCGCCGAGUGUACGGAGCAGUGUUCGACACGCAAACUCCGCCAAGAGGCGAUUUGUACCUGAGGUUCCGAGUGGGUGGGUCUUGGGUGCAGCCAAAGCGCGCCCUCCCUGCUGACUGGAAAGCUGGUGCUGUUUAUGACUCCCAAGUGCAGCUGAACUAGAAAAGCCAAAAACCAGUCCCUUUCUUUCUGUUGAUUGGGAAAGUGCUUGCUUGCCUUUUUCAUUACAGCUAGGUAGGAAUACCUCAGAUAUGGCCAAAGACAUGGCGGCAUUAGUGUUGCUGAUAGAAACAGGCUUAGCUAAUAAGCUAGGUAAGGGCAGGCUUUCUGCCUGCCUUGGCUAAAUAAAGGUAGUCUCUGUACCAUUUUAUCAAUGGGAUGUGGGAUUGUAGUCUUCUCUUUCUGUUGGUGUGACUGGCUAUAAUAAAUGAGAUUGGUGUUCCCUUAGGCGGAUAAAGUUGCACUUUUGCCUGCUAUAAAAGGUCCAUCCAGCACUCAGGCUGUCCAGAAGGAGUCCACUAUACUUUUCAGGUUAAUUAUAUGACAGCAUUCCUCACCAGAACAAUUGUCUUUAUCCAAUUACCAGCUAUAGGUACACUCAAAUUAGGAUGAAUUCAAGAAAAUUACGGCCCGCAAAGGAAGCUUACCAACCAAAUAAGCAAACUAUACUACUUUCAAAUUAGGUAAAUAACUACACUUUAGAAAAAUUAUUUGCCUCAAAGGACAUGUUACCAAUUGUCAUUUUCCAGAACCUGCGAGCAAAUCACUAUUGCAAUUGUUGAUAAUAAUUACGACAAUUUUCGAUUAAUUACUAGGUUUUAGCAUUUUUUAGGUUACCAAAAUUUAUGGCCAAAUAUGUCAAAGAUUUCUUGAAAUUAUAGAAAAUUCAGGUAUAUUAUGACCAGUCAAGGUAAAUUAAUUACCCAUGUAGCAAAACAUACUUUGAAGGUAAAUUACUUCAUAUAAAGGGAAUUACUAUUUUGAGCAAAAAGAAUUCUGCAAGUAGGGCUACUAGUUGCUAUUUAGAAGAACUCACAGCAAAAUCAUUACGUUUGAGGAUAGUUCCAAUAAUAUGAAGUUAAAUUACGGGUUGGCAUUCUCAUAUCACCAAAUCUUUGGACAGAUUAUUGUCCAUAACAAUAAAUUAUUGAUUACAGAUGCAACUAAUAUUACAACGUACUAAUAAAGAAAAUUUUAUAAUGCAAAAGUAUUACUUUUAACAGUUGAAAUGCAUCGAAAGAAUAAUUGAGUAAUUGAACUAUACUGAAAAAGCUAAAAUUAAAAUCAACAUACUAAUUAUUAUGACAUGUGGAUGCAUGUUUUGAUAAGCGGGGCGUAUUUAAUAACGAAAUCAAAUAAUUUAUCAUGGCACUUUUCAUUAUAAAAAACUCGAGUUGUUAGGUUAGGUCGGUCGGGUCGGGUCAAAGUCCUACUUUGCACAAUUUCCCGCGUAGAAGCUCCGGUGCUUCGCUUCAUUCUCUUCGCUCCGACUCUCUCUCUCUCUCUCUCUCUCUCUCUCUGCGUUCGUAUUUUCUGUGGAGUCAUCAAUGGAGUUCGAUGCAGUUGCAGCAGAACCCUAGCCCUCCCGCGACGUCGACGGCGGCAUCUUUCAUGCGCUUCUCCUCGGAUCAUAUUCAUUCCAUCUCGGUCCCUCUCUCUCUCUCUCUCUCUCUCUCUCUCCAUCGAGUAAUUCCCCUCCUCUUUUUGCUUCGAUCGUCGAUGCUGAGGAACUCUCGAAUCUUUCCUCUUCUCAUCCCCUCUCUCUCUCUUCCGGAUUUGCAGAGCUCGUGGACUGGCGAUCCUCCUCUCGCGGACCUCGUCUUCUCUCGGCCGACUCAGCGCUCGAAGCUCAUUUCGAAGACGCGGCCGCUAGGGCUCAAGUACGUGGCGCGUUCCCCUUUGUCGUAUUCCCUGAUUGUGGAUGGAUUAUCUUCGUCGCACUAACUGGUGUGGUAUUCUCAAUCACGAGUGGAAAACGUAAUCGAGUCGAAGCGGUUGAAACGUGGUGUGGAUAUUUUCUGAUGUUCGCGAGGAAGUCGUAAUGGUAAAUUCCUUGCGUUUUGUCUAAGCACCAUCAUUACAUAUUAGACCGGUUACUUUUCCUUGCAUAUAGAGGUGGCAAAUGAGUGGAUCGUGUUAGGUAUGGGUCGAGUCGAAAAUGGUUCGAUUCAUAGUUGAUUCAUUUAAUCCGUUUUGACUCAUAUUCUUAUAGUGUAAAUCUAAUGGUCCAUACUUAACCUGAUCCAUAUCUGACCCAACUCAUAUUGCUAAAACCCACUAAUAUCUAGAAAAACCCACGCUCACUUUAAUUGGACAAGAACCUCAAAUUAAAUUUAAAAAAAUAGUAAACAAAAUAAUAAUUGUUAAAAAAACCUAUAAAUUGAAAUAUUUAUGAAGAAUUAGACUAUGGACAUGCUUCUCUUAUUUAAAGUGAGCAUACUAUUAAGCAAUUGAAAACUGCAACUUGAAAUUGAAACUGAGUAUUAGCUAUUUGAACACUAUCUAAUGAAACAUCUGCGAAUGCAAGAAUGAAAAUAGUCUUUGCAAACGGUCUUUCACAAGUCGGAUUUACGCGAGAUUCAUCAAAUCUGGAAUUGAAAGUAAAUGCUUCUCUCAAUAAGAAUCUCAUUUGCUCGUUCAAAGAAAAUAAUUUUAUAGCUACAUUUGUAAUUCAAACAAAACUGUCCACUCUCUUGGAAAUCCUGGAAAGACAGACAAAAAAGAUGCAGUGAAACUUCUCCACGUACAGUUAUCACCCUUCCCUCCUUCCAAACUAAGUCGACUUUAGGUCAACCAAGUGCAGAACAUGACCAAAUCCAAAUAUGAUGAUAUCUGGAGGUAGAUAUAAGCCAAGAACUCAUUCAGCUGGAACAAGGUUGUGAUUGUGCCCCAUUUAAGCCGCAAAACCCAACCCAAAUCAAACAACCUCUACUGCUAAAAACCCCUCAGUUCGGACGCGGAAGCUGAGGAAACGUCAUUUCUCCUAUGCAAAUUCUUCAUCAUCUUUCACCGCCAGAAAAUAGACUAAGAACAAAGAUAAGAAAAAGAAUCACACGCAUUGAUAGCAGCAGCAGAAAUUGAGGAAACUAAACGAAGCACGCUCCACGCAACAGAUAUAAAAAGGACAAGGUGACGGGCCAAGAGAAAGACGGGGAACUCACGGAAGGGUUGGAGGGAUCGAAGAGCCUGAAAUGGCUCAAGUUGUGCUAUUGAGGCAAAAAUCGACACCCGCAAGCUAGACUUUCAUGGCGUGAGGCUGAAGCUCGUCGACCUUCGAGGGAGCGGUGGAGGUGAGCCUCAGAGGCCGGCGGCGGAGGCGACUCGGAGGUGAGCCGCUGCAGCGAGCGGCGGAGGCGACUCGGAGGCGAGCCGCGGAGGCGAGUGGUGGAGGCGAGCCUUAGAGGAGGGUGGCGGAGGCGACUCGGAGGGGAGCAAUAGCGGUGAGUGGCGGAGGCGACUCGGAGGCGAGCGGCGGAGGUGGGUUAUGAAUUCGAGGGAGCGGCGGAGGCAAGCCUUAGAGGCGGGCGGCGAAGGCGACUCAAAGGCAAGCCACGGCGGAGAGUGGCGGAGGUGGCUCGGAGGCGAGCGGCGGAGGUGGGUGACGAAGGGCAGCUGUCGCUGAGGAAAUUCUAUGUUUUUAAGGUUUUGAAAAUGGGUCAGAACAACCCAUUUUUGACUCAUAUAGAAUUGAACUUAAAACACUUUGACCCAUUUUAGCUGGGCCAUUACAUCUUCCUAACUCAUAUACGACCCAUUAAUGAAAAAUAUGAGUUCAGAAAUGGGUCAUUUUGCCACCUCUACCUGCAUAGAGGCUUAACGGAGCUUUAAUUGCAGUUCUUUCAUGACACUGCCAUCACUGCAACAAUAACUAGUUCAAAGCUCUUCAGUUUUUUUCGCUUGGAGGCGAUCUACUAAAUGUGUUCUUGUAUCUUAUCUAAGGGCUUAAUGUCAUAGUUAUGGGAACUUUCCUCUGGAACAUGCAAAGCAUAGUGUAGUCUGUCGCUCUUAGGAAACAGGUUGUUAAUACUAUGACGUAAUAAGCUUCAAUUUUUUACAGUACAUUUGGAUAUGCUAUUUAUGAGUUGAUCAACUUUUAGCUGCAUUUAUAAGGCUUUUGCUGGUGAGGAGGUUUUCUUGCUGACAACUAAACUUUUUUGCAAACAGCAUGAGGAAACAUGACAGCGCUACCAAACAAGAGGCCAGGGAUUAGCAGAUGAUGGGGUUGUUAAGGUGAAUUUUCUCCUUGUUAUCGCUUUCUUAUAUUAUUUCAAAAGCUAUACUUGGAAUUGAACAUUGGACUAGCCAUACCACGAAGAACUAACAAAUAAUCGAAACUUGAUCCUGCUCAUUUAUCAGAAGAUGUUAAUGACCCUUUGUAAUGGAGCAAUGUGGGAAUAUAUUGAGUUAUGUUUAUUGUAAAAAAAAAAAAAAAAAAAGGAAAUUUCCCAUGACAUCGAAUUAGAAGUUUAAAAGGCUUGUUUGCGGAGUCCUCACAUUGAAAUGCUGAAAUAGCCAUUUUAAUCUUCUCCCAGCUAGUUUACUGACGGAUGUUAGUAUGCUUAUGUCACCGUGUUUUCAUUUUAUUGUAAAAGCGGGGCAAUCGAUUCUUUUUUCUGUAAUUUCUAAAUCAUGGUGCACUGCAAGAAAUCACUACUAAAAUGAACUUUCAUUCUUUUUUAGGCUGGUCUUGUAACUACUCUUAGCAUAAAAACAAUCAUAUUUGGUGAAACAAAUCCGAGGCCUUACUUUUUUUUACUUUUUUUUUUGGUUAGAUGAAGCCUUGUAACUACUCUUAGCAUAAAAACAAUCAUAUUUGGUGAAACAAAUCCGAGGCCUUACUUUUUUUUCCUUUUUUUUUUGGUUAGAUGAAGCCUUACUUGAAUUGUGUUUCCCUAUAUUCCGUUUCUCUGCAUCACGGUCUUAGACUGCAAGUUGCGGUCACAAGAUGAAAAAUGCAAAAUUCUGUUUCACAUAAGAUUGCACAAGCUAAUCACACAAUCUCUCUACAUCAGAGAAAGAAUUAGAUCUGACUUUACCAAUAAACGGCACUUUUAAAGGUUUGCCAACUGAGACAGUAAUUCCAUUGCUGGAAUUGCUAUUGCUGUUGUAAUGAUUAGUUUAGCUCUAUCUGUCAGUACGACACUCGCCAGUGCCUUAUUACAGAUUUGACGUAGUUCUAGUGCUUUGAUACAAAUUAUCCCGAGUGGAAUAUAGUUGUUUCUUGUCGCAUUCUUGGUGAGAUGAGUCAUCAAAUUAACUAAUUUAUUCUUUUUUUCAGUGUAAUUGAACUGACGGAAAAUUUUUGUGUAGCUAAUAAAUAGGGAGAGUCAACUAAAGUUGGUUGUGAUGAAAAUCUAGCAAAUAUUUAGCCAUAUGAAACGUCGAGGUAGUAAAUUAUUUUGGAUUGGACGUAGAUCUAUACAUGGGCUUGUUUGGUUCAAUUUUGGGGAAAUGACUUUGCAUUUCCCCAAGUAUCCUUGGGUGGAUGGGCAUUCUCUGAAAGCAAACCUGUUUGGAAUUGUAUAUUUUGCAAAGUAAUUUUCAGGUGAAAAUAAAAAGGAAAAAAAGAAAAGAAAAGAAAAUGGAGGAGAUGCAGUUGCGUGAUCGUGGGGGAGUGGGUGGUGGUGGCGGCAUUGGUGGUGGUGGUGGCGUCGACACCACCUGAGGUUGCGCGGCCUCAGGCGGCGUCACCUGGGUCGCUCGACCUCAGGCAGCAGCGCUUGGGUCGCGCGACUCAGGCGACGCCCUAGGUCGCCCGACCUCAGGCCACCUCGGCUGAGCCCGGUGGCCAGAUCUGGCCCUCUGGCGGCCAAGCGUCGCCCACCGUGAAGAAGAAGACGAACGGCGAAGAAGAUGGGCGGUGAAGAAGACGAUGAAUAGUGACUCGGAAUCGCAUCUCCAGAAUAGGAAUGCUCAAAGCAGCCCCACCCCAGCAUUAGGCUUUUAGCAUUGGGGAUGCUGGCAUUGGGCAAAUGGGCAUUCAAAAACACAUGCCAAACACAAAAAUAAUCUCAAAAUUAUGGCUAACAAUAAGAAGGUUUGUUUCAAUACAACUCCAGAACCUAGUCAACAAUCUUGUUCAGGAAGUUUAAGUAGCCUAGUGUAAUUUCUGGGUCACUGAGAAAUAGUUGAGCUAACUCAGGACAGUGGCUUCAGAUCGAAAAAAAAAAAAAGGACAGUGGCGGAGGUCAAUAUCUGUGUUCUGAUGGGUUUCUUUAGCAUUCUUCUCUUACCAUUCCAAAAUGGGUAGCAUGGCGCAUUUAAUUUUCUCAUUAAAUGGUUCAUGGUUAGUUCAAAGUAGAAGAACAUUAGCAACAUCCUUUCUGGAAUAAUUGGUUGAAGCAUGAUAUUUGCCUAUUUGUGCUGUAGAAAGGCUAACAUUGAUGACAAAGCUUGAAAUCGGACGCAUUUUUAUAUGAGCUUCGUAGGCAUCUAUUUCAUACUGAGGCAAGUAUCCCAGUCUUUCAAGUUGCUCUAGGGGAACUGCCUGAGUUCUGGCUUCUGGGUCUAUUUUGAUUAUUGGUAAACCAUGACUCAUAUUGUCAUAGAUAUAACUUACAUCCAAGGUCCUGGAGAGGCUUCUGAAAUUCAAAAUGCCCUGUUCCACUUCUUAACUUAGACAUUCUGGUCACCAUACUCCAGGAUUGAGGCACCAGAAGUUACUGGGGCAAAUAGCCAGUCUUUCAAGUUGCUCUAGGUGAGCUGACUGAGUUCUGGCAUCUAGGUCUAUCUAGAUCAUCAGUAAACCAUGAUUUGUAUUGUCAUAGAUAUAAUUUACGUCUGAGGUCCUGGAGAGGCUUCUGAAAUUCGAGAUGAUUCUACUUUAUACUUCAGCCAUCUAUUAUGUGCGUUGUGAAAUCAGCUAGAAUGUGACUAUUGAUCUUUCUAUUCUCCAAUAAUUCUAUUAACGCAUGUGGUUUUUACAUGCAAUUCAUUCUCAUCGACACAACUUUUCCUUGGAAAAAUAUUGAUGCAUUGGAUCUGUGCAUUUCCUGUAGGUACAUUCUCUUUGUAAAGGAUGUCUUAGAAUGGUCCUUAAUAAGGAGGCUGAAAAAAUUCAUCAAGCUAUUGUCAACCUCAGUGUACUUCUGCUACUCAGAAUGCAGAUUAUAUAAACUCCCUUGCUUAAUUUUUUCUUUUAUCUCUUCUACUUGUCUAGGUCUACCUUUUCUUUUGUUCGUUGAUUGUUGUGCAUUUCAUGACAAUCCAGCAAGGACAACUGUGCGCAUUUUGGAAAGUUUGAUUCACCUAGCUGAAAGUAUGAUACCAUCAAUAUAUGGCCAUGUUCUUAAAGUAUAUACUAUUUUGUGCCGCUAAAAAAUGUUCCAAGGCCGAUUAUAUCACAUGCAAGAUUAAUGUUCAGAAAUGAAGUUUCACAUGCAAGAUUAAUAUUCAGAAAUGAAGUUACCUAUCUUGAUCCAAUUGUAUCCAUUAGCCAUUGUGGACAGCAUUUGAAAUGCUCUUCACGCCAUUUUUGGUGAAAAUGUUGAUCAUGAAAUCCUUGUCUGUUCCUAGUCCUAUUGUCAUUCAUCCAUGCACAAACUCAAUCGUUGUACUUAUUUUUAUGCAUAUGUCAGCUCGCUUUAACUACAAGCGUGUGUCCAUGUUUUGUGUUGGCUUUCCUAGAUUUGUGACUUAGCAGAACUUUCGUUACCCACAAAAAGAACUAACCAGCGGUAAGAUCGAGAAAGUUAAUAGCUUUUCUAUAUUUGAUGAGUUUUGCAUCUAAGUUGGGUAAUUCUGUAAAACAUAGUUGUGAAUGAGCUUUCAAGACAACGAUAAUCAUUUGCCAGUUGUAUUUGUUGAUUCAAGAUUAGAGUCACUUAUGCUACCCACUUUUAGUUCAAGAUGAUUUGAAGACACAAUUUUCGGUGGAAGGACCCCCGUAGAACUAUGUUAUUUUUUUGCUUAUAUAUUUGAUUUAUUUUGUCAAAUGUUGGUUCUAUUCUGGAACUUUUCAUCGCAACAUGGAUGUAAUAUUUAAUCGGCAUCAGUUUUAUUAGAAGCUCCAGUUAUUUUCAUGCAAAAUAUUGGAGCACUUGUAGACAUAACAAUGGACUACCACAGCAACGGUAUUGAGUGACAAGCUGCCCUAGACAUUGAGAAUGGUAAGACCUCUUUGACAGAACGGCUAGUCUGUGGCCAACCUCUCAUUAGUUUACCGCCAUGGGUCACCCAACAGAGCCAGUCCAUGUUUUCCUUGGAAGGGGGAGCAUGAAAAGAGGGAUCACCUGAGUGUCUUUCAGUAGUAUUCAGAAAGCUUUCGCGAGAUGCACAGGAUGGUAGGCACGUGAAAAUAGGACCCUCCACUGAUCUCUAUCCUCUUCCUUUUUUCUUUCCUAUUGUGUACUCCGGGGACCGAACUUGCGGAGAUGUCAAAUUGAUAAGAUUAUGGACGCUUAACUGCUUAUUAAGGUUUGGGUUAGUAUAACUGCUGCAUGUCUAGUAACUAUGCUGUCGUGUAAGAAGAGGGUUGCUAAAGCUGGUAAAGGGGCUGCUUCAUUAUUUUGACAAUGAAAAGCUAUGGCUGGGUAGAGAACUAUUUUAAUGAGAAUCGUCGAGCCCAUUUCUUGGUCUUUAACCUGCUUGUGGGCACCGUAACAAUUCCUCUCUUGCUUCUGGGAAGAAAAGACUAUGAAAAUGAUGAAAUAGAUUAGUUAAACAUAUCCCAAAACUGAAUAACGUAACGGAAUCUUUACGGCCCAAUAUUGGGCUUGAUGGCCCAACCACGAGCCCGUUGGGCCACGAAAGGAGAUGAACGUUAGGCCUAACUAGGGUGGACGGAAGAAAUGUAAUUGGCCUAAUUCUGGGCCCUUAAAGCAUAAUGCAUUGGUCUCAAACUGGUCCAGACUUGGUUUAAGAGCCCCUCUAGUGGGCCCACUAAUGGGCCUCGUCUGCCCAUUGAAGGCCCAAUACUGAUCUCAUGUGUCAAAGCCCAUUCGGACCCGGCCCGACAAUAGGUGGACUGCGGAUAAAGCUGGCCCAUUGAGGGCCCAAUGGCCCAUUCAGUCUCGGCCCAGUACUCAUGCAAAGUGCACGCCGGCCCAAAAAGAGGCCUUGGGUAUGCCCACUGGCCUGUUAAUAUAGGCCGAACACAUUGGCCCAAUGGGCCUAGAAUAAUUAACUGCUUGAAGCCCAUUGGGGCUUGGCCCAAUAAGCGUACAAUGGGCCUACACGAAUCCCAUUGGGCUCGGCAUGUUGAAAUAAUUGGGCCUGACUGUGGGUCUAAGUCCCAAUGUGUGAUGGGCCUCACCUGGGCCCAUUAAACUCGGCCCAAUAAAAUUAUAAUAGCUUAUUGGGCCCAGCCCGUAAAAGUAAUUGGCCUCAUUAUGCCAUUUCUUUGGGGCACAAGGCCCAGUAUGUUGGACCUAAUUUGGGCCCGACUACUGACCUCUUGGAGCUCAAUAGGCCUAAUAUUCACUUAAUCUUUAAAGACCCUAACCAGCUCAAACCUAAUAUGGGCCCGAUAGAACCUCAAUUCACACCCAAUAUUUUAGCCAGUGGUAUGGGACCCAACUGCGGGCCCCGGCUGUUGGUCCUAUAGGCCAAUAGAUUGAGCCUCGCCAUAGGCCCUCUUUUGAGCACGGCCGUCGGCCAGGGCACCUUAGGCCUCACCCGAGCCAACUUCCAGAAUAUCGAGAAAUCCAAUGAAAAAGUAAAUAACGGGCCAGAAACAUCUCGAGUCAAUAAGCUCAAAUUACGAGUAUGAUCCAGAAAAGAGUCCAAUAUUAAGAAAUACAAUAAAAAGUUGCUUCAACCACAUAUGCAGCAAUUCCAUAAUGCCCCGUGCUUGAAGCCGAAUGAGCGCUGUUUGACCUCCGAGACAUGCUGGGGCCUUGGAUUAUCAACAGCUCCUGGAGCUGCUCCAAGUCCAACGAAUUCAAUCAGUCUCCUCCCUGUAAAAGGACAAAUUAUUAGAGAGAGUUUUCAAUCUGGAGAGAGAAAACUGAAGGCAUCACCAUCAAUUCAUCCAGCAAUUAUCCUACUUUUAAUUUGAACAGUCAAGACUACUAAAAAAGCUUGUAUUUCUAGUAUUUUAUAAGCUUAAGGCAAUUUCGACAAAGCAUGUUCCUCAAAGUCAGCCAUGUAUAUUCAAACUGAUGAACAAACAGAUUAUCGGCAGUGUUGUUGAACAGGACUGACAGUUGUGAAAAGCAGAGACGGUAAAGUGCAACUGGUUAUGGAGUGGAUAUCGCACAAACAGAGAUCGCAUGAUUCACCGAACACAGAUAGCUGUCACCAUUCAGUCAGUCCUGACCAGAACAAGCCCCAUGAUCUGGCUAGCUUCAGGGCAAAAAUAUAACAGGGUUUAAUAUGUGCUGGUGUAUAUAAAUAAUUUCCGAGAUCUUGACGGUCUUAUCUUCCAAAAUUUGAUGCCCAAUGCAUAGCUGUUCUUCUGCAGGCAUCACAAAAGUUGGGGAUUAACACCUGCAGUUAUUAUAGAGCCCCUCGCCCACUCACAACUGAAGCCUGCAGCCAAAUGAAUAACUCCUUGACCUUGGGUAUCCAAUUAUUUGGCCCUCUGCCUGCUUCAUGAAGUUUGCAAACCAGCCACCAUGAGACCUCGUCCUUUAGCAAGUAUUGAAGUGCUGCACCUCAAACAUAUGGGUAAUCGAACAUUGUGAAUUUAGAAGCCUCUUUCAGUCUUCCAAUAUCAAAGUCAGCAGUUGUGUUCGUUUGAACUUGUGACAUUCUUCAACUUGCACUUAUCACAUCCACCAACAAAGGAAUCUAACUGGAUCUAUAUAUAACAAUUUUGGCAGAUGUGAUUAAAGACCCCGCUUCAUAUUCUGGUCCAAUAUUAGAAGCCGUAGAUGGCAUUUUACAACAAUCACAUUCUCUUGCCUCACUGCAUGCUAAUCUAUUGCUGCAGGCAAUGAAAAUGGAACAUUUGCAGGAGUGUGAGCAGGAGUCGCACAUUGCAUUGAUGUAUUAGUUAAAGUUUCAGCAGAAACCUCAAUUUCACCAAACAUGCAACCCCGUUUGGUUCAGCAAAAAUUUUCUUGCUAUCCAUUGGAAAAAGAUCAUCUCCAUAUGAAAAAACAAAGAAAACCAAAAAAUGGAUAUGCAGUUAACUGUAAAGCCAGGUUCCAUACACUACCUCUUUCAGUUCUCUACAGUAAACAACAACAAAGUGCUCAAGCUGCCUGAAGAUAAGCAAAAGAGCAAGUCGCACAAUGUAGUGUAUACUCAAUAAUAACUCAUAUUCCCAUAAUGCGGUGCUAAAAUCUUGAAAGACAACAAACUUCUCGUUGUCAGAUGUGAAGAAUUCCAGACCUUUGCUGCUUCACCUAUUUUGUGACUGGUGAGGUUAAACUAACUGAGAAGAUCAUCAUACAAGCUAAUCAUAAUCAUAACAAUACCAUCUACGUGGAUUCACUUCUAGAACUAUAGUGUUUUAUGUUUUGAAUUUGCCUUUCUAUAAACUUCAAGAAUAUAAAGGUAAGGAUGCCAAGAAGGAAGCUUAAUCUACACACACUUUUAAAUGGAACACAAUAUAUAUGCAUCAAAUUUUUUCAGCUGCACUUUUUUGCAAUGACAUGCCGCGACUAGCUCCACAGUUAAGCAAAAAAUGAUUCUGAUGAGAAGAACUAAUUUAACAAAGGCUUUGCACCAAGAUGAUGAAUGCACGCAUUAUUUAAAUCCAUGGCAACACAAUACCACAAACACGUAUUAGAAUUUUCGUGGAUAUCUAAUCAAUGAACCUUUUUUGGCUCUGACACAUCUCAAAUAGCUACUGAGUGAAGCAUAAAGAUGAUUUUCAUGAAAAGGACAAAAAUAAAUUUAAUCAAAGCAUUGUCACGACAUGAUAGCUUCUAGUCAUUGAAAAUUGCAAAACAGAGGGACCAGCAACACCGGCAAAUAGACAAAAUAACCUUUCCAACAUGAAUGGAGUGUAAAUAUGUUCGGAUGCAAGGUGAUUAUUGUAAGUUUAAAGACAUAAAGCAGUUUGACAUGUCAUGUAGAAAAAUCUGCAUGGAGCACUUCCCUAGGCUAUCUGAUCUUUCCCAGUUAACAAUGAUGACUGCAAACUAUGAGUAUUUUCAAAACUUCCCUAGGCUAUCUGAUCUUAUUAGCAUGUAUCUUAUUAGCUUAAGCUUGCAGCUCUCUAUGUUCCACAAUCUGCUCUCCAAAUGUUAUCGUUGUGUUUUUCUUUCAUGACAUAGUGGUUAUCCAAUGCAGGUAUGUCAAGCCACCAAUUUUUACUCUCUGUGUCGGUAAUGCAUGGGGAGAAGCUGCCUUACUUUUAGCAGCUGGUGCAAGGGGGCAUCUUCAACAAUCAUGAUGAAGCAGGUUGAUGAAGCAGGUUUUUCCUGCACCUUUGAAGUUCCUAAGUUAUUUAUACCUUUUAUUUCGUGGCCUUUUCAGAGUCUACAUUCUGUCAGGGAUCAACUUAGGCAGCCUGCUUGAAUUCUAAUAAUUCUUGUGUAUCUUCUAUCUGUGAAUUGCUAGCCAAUUGCAAGAUUUCAAGGUCAAGCAACAGAUAUCGAUCUUGCCAGGAAAGAAGUGAAGAAUGUCAAGGCGGAGUUGGUAAGAUAAAUCACUUUGUUGGUUUGAGAUAUCUGUGAGAUUUGUCUUCUAUAGGCAUGAGAUUACUAUUCUGGUGGAUGACAUGAUCUAAUCAAUGCACUUUAAUUCAAAAUCAGAGUGAGCUGAUCUCGCAAAAGCGCAGCAAAUCAUGGCCAUUUGCUCUUUGAAGCUUUCAUGUCCAUCAGUUUUAAGUUAAUCAAAGCAAGAGGUCCUUCGGAUUGGAUUCACCCUUUCUACCUUGGGCGAUGUCCUUUAAAGUCAAUACUACUACUACAAAUAAAUUAAAGGAAUGCAUAAUUUGGUUGAACUGGCUUGCUGCUUAAUUGUAGUUGAUUAAUGCUUGCUAACAAGCUCUGCCCUCUAUGUUAGCCCACAACUGAAGCAGAUAGCUUACUCAUUUUAAAUAAUAAGGCCUAUCUAUAACCGGAAAGUGAUGAUCUUUUGCUUUAUUAUGUGGAUAAGUAGAGGUCAUAUUACAUCUGUCUGAGCUUCUUCUACUUAUAGAACAUCAUAGACCACCUACUUCGUGCCGCAUUCUAAAAGUCCAAGUUAGGUCCAAAGCUACUCCACUAAAUUGAAAAUGAUCUGCAAAGCUUCAGAGAAAGUCUUCCAGUGUUUGUUUAAAAAAUUGAAAACUUUACAGAUCAAGAGAAUAUUGUUACUCGUUUCUUUGUCAUCCUGGCUCUUUUUGGUUUGCCUCUUUGCUUCAUCAUGUUAACUGAAAUGUGGUACUAGUAGAGGGUCGGUUCUUUGCAGGGUUCUACGAAUGCGUGUUUAGUGUUUUUCUCAUUAGAUCGUUGUGUUGGAAUGAUGUUCUCAAUAAGUUCCAAUUCCAAUACAGAUAGAAGAGCCUGUUUUAAUUACCAUCUAGAGGGUGGGGGCCUAUCUUGUAGAAACUGGCAACUAUGUACAUAUAAAGGAGUGAAUUGAGCAAACGAAAGAAUUUACUUUUGGGGUCUUGUGAUGCUUCUUCGAGACACUGAAGUGGGAACAACUUCCUGCUGACAAUUUGUGAAGGUUAAACUCUAUACGAAGCAUAUUGGAAAAACACCAGAGGAAAUCGAAGCUGACAUCCGAUGACCUAAAUAUUUUAGUCCUAGUGAAGCGGUUGAGUAUGGUAUCAUAGACAAGGUAUGCCCACUGUGUUGUCUACUUGAUUUUGCUUGAUUUCAUGGUGUGCUUAGUAUGGUUACCUCACAGGUGCUAUACAAUGAGACGAGCAGUGAAGAUCAUGGAGUUGUAUCUGACCUGAAAAAAGCGCAACUUAUAUGAUAACGAUGCUGUAAAAUGAAAUUGCUAUUUAUACAGGGGAUUCAGGUAAAGAAUGAGUAAGAUAUUCUUCAACGUGUAAAUUUUUCUGUCAAAAAUUUUACAUAUACCCACUUUGUAUAUUCAGCAGAUUGCACAACUAAUUUGUUGUUAGAGAGUAUGCUUGUUAUAAUAAGAAUGAAAAGAAAAUGUGCAAUACAAAAUGAAGACAGCAGCUAACGAGAAUUGGGUACGAGCAAAAGCUUCAACUUUGGGAUCAUAUGCUCCUAUUGAACAUUUUCUCUCGAGUCUUCUUCUGUUAUCCAAAUUUUGUCAAUGGGUCGUUCCUCUUAGUUCAGUGUCAAGGAGGUUCUAGCAAGGGAGAAGGAUAUGCUAAUCCUUUUCAUGGACAUCCCACCUUAGUGUUGCCCCAUUUUUGCUCUUUUGCUUUUGCAAAACUCUAGUGACUUGACAUCUGGAAAGAGUGGUGGCACAACCUUCUGGUUCGACGAUGACAUUGCUUUCCCUGAUCUGAUUUUGUUGUCAUGAUUGUUCUUCCUGAAAUUAGAGAGGCUGGGGAAAGGCCUUGCUGGUUGGUAGAUCUUGCAUCUAGGCUGAUGGGACAUUAGCCGGGUGUCCCCUGUUGCAUUUUGAAGUGCUGAGGACCCGCCCAUCUAGGAGUGGUAUCUUUUGGAAUAUUACAGAUAGUCGGCAUAAUGCAUCCAUUGCUUUUCAGUAGAUAUUUGCAUUAGCAAGUAAAUAUAUGAUUGAAAUGAAAUGACUCAAAAGAAUUGGCUUUUUAGCUCAGAGGUCACCUACAAAAUCCGCUGAGCUGUUCGGUUGAAAACAUGCAGGUGACAUUGUCAAUAACGGUUCUGACGCGCAAUUCCCAUCAACAUCAGAAAGCCUAGGUGUCAGCUAUGAAGUGGGAAUGAGACUUCUAAAGCUCACAGUAUUGGAUUUAUUGCUAGAUGCCAUUAUACAUGUAUUUUCACAUCUGUAAGGUCUAUCUCGUGUAGUUGCAUAGGCAGCAUCAUUGUCUCUUUUUUAAUUUGAUUUGUCAACAGUUGAAACAAUAAGUAGGAAGAGCUUGUUAAUGUACUAUUUGAAUAAUGAUGUGGUUUUUUAGUCGGUUGAUGCUUCCGUUCAUGACUAUAUAGGAAUCAAGCCACGUUUCCAAUUAGCAAAUCCGAAUUUACAGGUUGCACGGUGACUCGGUUCCAAUGUAAAAAGUCAGCCUACACUUAGCGUGAUUCUUGGCAUGGUUUUUCCUACCGUAAAUCAUCAACUACUGAAUCUCAGUGUGUUCCACAUUUGUAGCGUGAAUUAAUUUUAUGCCUCCUAUAAUAAACACCGCAUGUCUGACGAAAAUGAAACGGAACAGAUGUUCAAUACUCUCUCUGUCUCUCUGUCUCUCGAUCGAACUUUGUGGAAGGAGGAGAAGCAUCUAAUCUUAUAUAUGCCUGAACAUGGGAGCUGAACACGUAAAUAGUCCUGCAUUUUCUCCGGUUCUGCUAAUGUCACUUUUUCUGUGCCUGGCCUUCGAAAUUUCUCUCUCUCACGCGCGCGCGCACACGACCAGAUUCAACCUAGAGCGGUGUACUCGUAUUUGAAGUGAGGUUGCCACAUGGGCGGCAAGGAUCCGUAGUCACCUACCCCACUCUGUACCUCAAUCGUGUCUCCACAUCAUGCUCCGCUAAAAUUUCUACCUUUUUUCCUUGCAUAUUGCGUCACUCGGAAUGCUGCUCAAAAUAGGGAAAGGUCUUUGAGGUGUCAAAAACCAAUUUGCUUUAUCUAUCCGUAGUGACAAUCAUUCGGGUGCUUUUAAGCCUAAUUUGCCAUUUGUUUUUUACUGAAUUUCGACAGGGGAAAAAGGAGCCGUAGGUUACCUAGUAUUCUAGAGUUCUUAAGUGCGCUGGGACCAAACGAUGACUCAACCAAAUGAUGACUUGUCGGCAAUGUCCAGUUGUUGAUAGUUCAUAGUUUUGCUUUGACUUCAGCAAAUCAAUUCAAUUCAGAUUUAAGUAGCAAGAGAGUGUUGCUCAGCAACUAAGUGGGUUUUUACUGUUGUGAGUGCUUCUAGCUAUUAGGUUUUCAUUAAAUUAUAUCUAGAAAGCUGUUUUGUAGUCUCAUGAUCCUCAUGUCUCAAUAGUGUUACUAUUUGCGAUGAACUCGACUGAAUUUUUUGGAUACUUCCAAUAGCAAUUUGGCGCCUAAUAUACAUUUGUCACUCCAAAGACGAUUGCAAACAACUUACUACUCAAUAUGUAAUAUUACGUGAUCAAAGAAUUAUAAAUGAAUGCCCCAUUUUGAUAAUAGCUUCAUACUUAUAGGGGAAGCGAAAGAGAAGUAUUUCAAGCUAAUGAAAAGAGAUGAAAAUCUUUCCUAAGAUCAAAACCCUCAUGUCUCAAUGGUAUUACUGUUUGCAGUGAACUCAACUGAAUUUCUUGGAUACUUCCAAUAGGAAUUUGGCCCCUGAUAAACAUUUGUCACCAUAAAGACAAUUGUAAACUUACUACUCAAUAUGUAAUAUUACAAGAUCGAAUAAUUAUAAAUGAACGUCGCAUUCUGAGAAUAGCUUCAUACUCACACGGGAAGUGAAUGAAUAUAUAUCAAAAUCUAUCAUGAGAUGAAGAGAUUGCGAAAUGCUAGUACUACGCAUAAGUUUGGGAUUUCUUCGUUUAACUAGAAGGUCAAUUUUCUAUGAAUGUCGAAGCACAAUGUGUUAUGAGUCAUAGCACGCCGGAUUAAUUGCAGAUGCAGUGAGCUGACCAAAUGAGAAAAGAGAAGCAAAAGGUUAUUAAUAUAAUAAGCCUUCCAAUUGUAGUUUAUGUAAUGAUGAAAUAUCUUAGUGAAAGGGUCCACGGAAGGUCCACACGUACUUAUCCAAUGUAUUCUAAUUCUACAAGCUCAAGUCUCCCUUGGGUUCUGUACUAUCUGCUCACAAGUGGAGGGAAAAAUAGUGAGUGGUCCUCAAGAACCUGACCCUCAGGAUCUCAGCUAUAAAUAUGGGAUCUUGGUUAUGAAUGUUUCUCAUCCCAAAACCUUCUUGUCCAUUUCCCUCUCUCUCUCUAGUCGAGUCCUCUAGGCUUGAGUUUACUUGUCUUGCAUUAGGAUCAGUACAUUGAGUGAGACAUGAAAUCUGCAAUGAGCUAUAGUUGUCUUCUCUGUAUCCUGGUGCUCUUGCCAGCACUUUGUCACUCUGAAAAUUCAUUUACGCCCUCGAGAGCCACUUACUAUGGCAGCCCUGACUGCUAUGGGACUCCAAGUAUGUGCACGCUCCGUCUCCUGUGAUAGAAACCAAGCUUGCAUCAGCCACCGCACCACACAAGCGCCGCACAUAAAUUAUGUUCACACAUUAGUGUGAAGCUAGUAGAGCACUAGUCGCUAAAAUAGUAUCGUGUCAUGAAAAGUACACAAAACAACAUUUCUUGUCUUUAAAGUAACUUUUUUAACUUCGUUUAUGGUCAUGUGGCAUGCUCUGUUACAUCAUGAAUAACUUUUCGUGGGUAUGCGCUCUUUCCCUUGAUACUCAGCAGAACGCAAUAUAACAUGAGAAGAUCUGUGUAGUGGCAUGUCUCGCUCGGUACUUGAAGGCUUGGUUGUUCACAUGCACUCUUUGAACCACUCCAUUUCAUUAUGCCCAAACCAAACAUUUGAAACAGAACAAUUUUUGCUAGAGAAGAUCUAAUGAGUGCAAUGUUUAUGGCAGCUGGAGCUUGUGGGUACGGCGAGUAUGGCAGGACCGUCUACGAUGGCUAUGUGACUGGAGUUUCGAGGCUAUACAGAAAUGGAUCUGGAUGUGGUGCUUGCUAUCAGGUUUAACUUCAUAUAGACUACACAUAAAUAGAUGAUGACUCUUUUUGACUUUUUCAUCAGUCUAAUUUUACUUUUUUUUAAGUAUAGGUGAGGUGCACGAAACCGCAGUGCACGGGCGAAGGAGCGUACGUGGCGGUGACGGACUAUGGAGAGGGAGACAGGACGGACUUCAUCCUGAGCACCAGAGCCUAUGCGAAGAUGGCAAAACCGGACGACUACCAAACCGAGCAGCUGUUCGCCUACGGCGUGGUUGAGGUCGAAUUCAGAAGGGUUCCGUGUCGAUACCCCGGCCAAAACCUCCUUGUCAGCGUCAGUGAACACAGCAGAAACCCUUCUUACUUAGCUGUCAUCCUUUUAUACGUCGCCGGCAAAGAUGACGUCAUAGCUGCGGAGUAUU
Molecule: long non-coding RNA, 18366 nt
Filed under: Eucalyptus grandis
Lineage: Eukaryota; Viridiplantae; Streptophyta; Magnoliopsida; Myrtales; Myrtaceae
Description: long non-coding RNA (EGRA_LNC002540)
Source: RNAcentral